CUACGGGCCGCAGCAGUGGGGAAUAUUGCACAAUGGGCGAAAGCCUGAUGCAGCAACGCCGCGUGAGUGAUGAAGGUCUUCGGAUUGUAAAGCUCUGUUCUUGGGGAAGAAUAAAUGACGGUACCCAAGGAGAAAGCCCCGGCUAACUACGUGCCAGCAGCCGCGGUAAUACGUAGGGGGCAAGCGUUAUCCGGAAUCACUGGGCGUAAAGGGUGCGUAGGCGGCUUAGCAAGUCAGAAGUGAAAGGCAUUGGCUCAACCAAUGUAAGCUUUUGAAACUGUUAGGCUGGAGUGCAGGAGAGGAAAGUGGAAUUCCUAGUGUAGCGGUGAAAUGCGUAGAUAUUAGGAGGAACACCAGUGGCGAAGGCGACUUUCUGGACUGUAACUGACGCUGAGGCACGAAAGCGUGGGGAGCGAACAGGAUUAGAUACCCCGGUAGUC
This 440-nucleotide ribosomal RNA is filed under the name uncultured bacterium. Its description in RNAcentral is "partial 16S ribosomal RNA". It matches the Rfam family "Bacterial small subunit ribosomal RNA", at positions 339 to 795 of the family's 1533-position model. The record is from RNAcentral.